ACCCAGCCCAUUUUCCCUCCACAUCACUAAACUGACCCAGCCCACCCAGAAACGUCUCCUUUGAACAGAAUCGACGGGAAGCUAUGUGUGAGCGUCCAAAUGACCCUAAAUCGACCCUCACGCGCCUGACCCUCCUCACACGAGCGAGAGUUGAUAAUCAACAACGCCAUUGUUAGAAAGAAGUACACAGCGUCAAUUUACGUGUUGUCUCAGUUUAAUUUUACUAUCAGAUUUUACAGAAACAUGCCUUAUAUACAGGCUUUUUAUGUAUAAACCCACAUAUAUAUAUAAACAUACAGAAACAUUCCUUAUAUAUGGUGAGAUUGAGCGUUUAGACUUUUGAUCGAGUUUUCGAUUGGUGUUCUAUUCACACGAGUUCAUAUGAGCAUCGUUCAUGGUCGGAGAAGGUUGCUCGUCUUUGGUCUCAGUUCAUCUGCCUUGAAAAAGUCAAUUAACCCUUUGUUUGCUUUGGAGGUUGUAACAGAUUCGAAGUUCCAUCCGGAGUCUAAGAGGAACUUAAUCAAAUGCUUCGAUUUCCAUGUCUCAAGUAUGUCUCCUUCCCUAUUUUUUCCUUGAUAUCUAAAUCUCACAGCGUGGAUAGAUAUAGAUUCAAAUAAGUUGCUCUCGAGUUUCCUCACUUUGGCACUAGAAGAUGCGCAUUGAAAUCGAUUCUGAUUUUGUGGUCCUCUACUUUUGCUGGUGGAACUCUUUGAAAACUCAUAUCCAAGACUAGGUAGCUCUUUAUUUCUCACCAAUUUAACGCCUUGGUAGUGGCACAAAAUUGUAAUGUAGUUAUAAAAGCUGGCAAUACUAUCCACUUCUUGAUAAAUGUACUUGUCAUCCAUGCUAGCUACUUGUAUCUGUAAUCUUUCUUGUCUUGAUUCUCAAAUUUGUGAUUUGAGCUUUAUCCAUGUUUAGAUCCUUCUACACUUUAUUGGUAGUUGCACAAAUUGCUUGUAUUCCCGUAAAUGCAACUUACACUAUGUUCUAUUAGCAAUGGCAUCUGCUAAUUGAUUGCCUUCUCUAUAUACGUGUUGAACUUUGAAGUUGUUUUGUUCCACCAUUUGUGUUAUAUCGUCCAUUAUUUCUAGCAUCUCCCUAGGUAUUUUCCAUUCCCUAAGUAUCAUUUCUUGAUACCUAGUGAAUCUAUUUCAAUUAUGACUCUCCUGAGGUUGUUUUUUAUACAGAAAUUAAGCCCUUUCUCUUUAUCUAAACCAUUAAUAUUAAUGAAAUCUUUUACAUCCAAGAUUGAUCUUUCUAUUCCUCCAUCCUCAAUAAAGUAUAAAGCUCCUUCUUUUGUCCAGUUGUCAUUCCAAAAGCUACACUUUCCUGCUUUUAUUUUCCACCAAAUUUCAUGUUCCACCUCUUCCCUAACCUGAAUCAACUUUUUCCAAAUAUGUGAUGCUCCACUCCCUUUGGCCAUGUCUGGAUGAUCUUUUUUGCAAAAUUUGUUCCACGUAAAAGUUCCCCACAAUGAGUUGGUAGCCACUCUAAAAUUCCACCACAGAUUAACAAACAAAGCCUUAGCAACAUCAUGAAGAGAUCUAAAUCCUACUCCACCUUCCUUAUGUGGGUAACACAAGUCGUCCCAAGCCACCCAAUGUUUACCCUUCAACCCUCCUAUUUUCCCCAAAAAACUUUGCAAAUAUUUGAUGAAUCCUAUUUAUGAUACCUUUUGGAGGGUUCAUUGCUGACACUGGGUAAACAUACAUAGAUUGUAGUACGUGAGCAAUAAGUAUUUGUUUUCCCCCA
Solanum pennellii is the source of this 1752-nucleotide long non-coding RNA. RefSeq lists it as uncharacterized. The transcript is spliced from 2 exons. The record is from RefSeq and is a predicted model, not a curated record. NCBI's taxonomy places the organism in Eukaryota, Viridiplantae, Streptophyta, Magnoliopsida, Solanales, Solanaceae.